UCCCUGGUGUCUCAGACAGUAAAGAAUUUGCCUGCAAUGCAGGAGACUCCAGGUUCGAUUCCUGGAUUGGGAA
This 73-nucleotide transfer RNA is filed under the name Bos taurus (domestic cattle). It matches the Rfam family "tRNA". From Rfam's summary of the family: Transfer RNA (tRNA) molecules are approximately 80 nucleotides in length. Their secondary structure includes four short double-helical elements and three loops (D, anti-codon, and T loops). Further hydrogen bonds mediate the characteristic L-shaped molecular structure. tRNAs have two regions of fundamental functional importance: the anti-codon, which is responsible for specific mRNA codon recognition, and the 3' end, to which the tRNAs corresponding amino acid is attached (by aminoacyl-tRNA synthetases). tRNAs cope with the degeneracy of the genetic code in two manners: having more than one tRNA (with a specific anti-codon) for a particular amino acid; and 'wobble' base-pairing, i.e. permitting non-standard base-pairing at the 3rd anti-codon position. The record is from Rfam by way of RNAcentral. RNAcentral also lists the same sequence under 5 other names. Lineage: Eukaryota; Metazoa; Chordata; Mammalia; Artiodactyla; Bovidae.